Molecule: long non-coding RNA, 780 nt
Filed under: Capra hircus (goat)
Lineage: Eukaryota; Metazoa; Chordata; Mammalia; Artiodactyla; Bovidae
Description: lncRNA (ENSCHIG00000004245.1)
Source: RNAcentral
CAAAGGAGGUAGUAUUAGGGCUUGGUUUGAAAUUUCAGGAGUUGCUUGCCAAGGGGCAGAUAGAUGGAGGGUGGCGAACAGGGGAGGAAGGAUGGGGGCAGAGACAUGCGGGAGAGCAUGCCCGGGAGCCUUUUGUCUGCGAUAUUGCCACCAGAGUGUCUAGUCCAAGAGGGGCCGGUUAAUCCAUGAAGCCGGAGCAGUCGGUGGAGGCCAGAACAAUGAGCUCCACACAGGAGGAAUUAUGUCACAGUCUUGGGAUCCCUGGACCUGGCGAAGGGCCUGACCCAGACCCUUUGCUGCCUAUUGAUGGAGGAAGGCAGGACGAGGAACGGGGAAAGGAGCUGUUUUGCAGAUACUGCCACCCCCACCAAGUAGGAGAAGUUAAAGUUGACUACAUGAUGGCCGGACUACACCCAUGACACAAGCUGCUCCAUCUUACAGUAUUCUGAGAACUGGCUUUGAGGAUGUGGGAGAUAACCAACCCUGUAGCUGAAGAUUAACUAUGCUUAAAACAAGACCACCGCAUGACCACUCUCAAGAUGACCGUCAGAGCUGACUCUGAUGUUCUGCACACAGCCACCUCCCUCCCUCCUGACUCUCUCCUUUCAAGCUCUUAUUCUGGGACUUCCCUGGUAGUCCAGCAGUUAAGAAUUGGCCUUCCAAUGCAGGGGGCCUGGGUUCAAUUCCUGCCUUGGGAACUAAGAUCCCCCAUGCCCCCGGGCAAGUAAAGCCUUGCACCACAACUCCAGAGAAGCCCGCAUGCCGCAACCAAGAUCUGAC